This 310-nucleotide unclassified non-coding RNA is filed under the name uncultured fungus. RNAcentral describes it as "partial contains 5.8S ribosomal RNA, internal transcribed spacer 2, and large subunit ribosomal RNA". The stretch from base 1 to 52 matches the Rfam family "5.8S ribosomal RNA", at positions 103 to 154 of the family's 154-position model. The record is from RNAcentral. Lineage: Eukaryota; Fungi.
AACGCACCUUGCGCUCCUUGGUAUUCCGAGGAGCAUGCCUGUUUGAGUGUCUUGAAGUCAUCAACCCCCUCCGUUUACGUGCGCGUAAAUGGACCGGGUUGGAGUGUGGGGGUGUGCUGCCGAGAGGCGGCUCCCCUCAAAUGCAUCGGUUGGGCCUGUGGGUCGAAAUCGACUGGGCGUUGUACCAUCCUCGCUCGACAGAGACGUUCCCCGCUGUGCCCUUCCCAGACCUGCCUCUUGGAGUGGCGGUCACGAGCGAAAGCUUUUGAAAUCUGACCUCAAAUCAGGUAGGACUACCCGCUGAACUUAA